RNAcentral lists this small nuclear RNA (316 nucleotides) under Nannospalax galili (Upper Galilee mountains blind mole rat). RNAcentral's name for it is "7SK RNA (ENSNGAG00000004148.1)". It matches the Rfam family "7SK RNA". Rfam says of the family: 7SK was discovered as an abundant small nuclear RNA in the mid-70s but a possible function has only recently been suggested. Lineage: Eukaryota; Metazoa; Chordata; Mammalia; Rodentia; Spalacidae. The record is from RNAcentral.
GGAUGUGAGGACGAUCUGGCUGUGACGUCUGUCACCCCAUUGAUCACCAGGGUUGAUUUGACUGAUCUGGCUGGCUAGGCAGGUGUCCCCUUCCUCCCUCAACGCUCCACGUGCGUCCCUCCCAAAGCUGCACACUCGGUCGAAGAGGAUGGCCUUCCCUGAUAGAGGAGGACGGUCUUUGGUCAAGCAUAUAUGAAUAGCUGCGCUCCCCUGCUAGAACCUCCAAACAAGCUCUCAAGGAUGUGACUCUUAGACUAACCAGGCUCCAGUGGAUUGGACCCACACUGAAGUACACAAAUUAAACUGUAUAGGCCUU